RNAcentral lists this ribosomal RNA (464 nucleotides) under uncultured bacterium. Its description in RNAcentral is "partial 16S ribosomal RNA". It matches the Rfam family "Bacterial small subunit ribosomal RNA", at positions 339 to 795 of the family's 1533-position model. The record is from RNAcentral.
CUACGGGUGGCUCCAGUGGGGAAUAUUGCACAAUGGGCGCAAGCCUGAUGCAGCCAUGCCGCGUGUAUGAAGAAGGCCUUCGGGUUGUAAAGUACUUUCAGCGGGGAGGAAGGGAGUAAAGUUAAUACCUUUGCUCAUUGACGUUACCCGCAGAAGAAGCACCGGCUAACUCCGUGCCAGCAGCCGCGGUAAUACGGUGGGUGCAAGCGUUAAUCGCAAUUACUGGGCGUAAAGCGCACGCAGGCGGUUUGUUAAGUCAGAUGUGAAAUCCCCGGGCUCAACCUGGGAACUGCAUCUGAUACUGGCAAGCUUGAGUCUCGUAGAGGGGGGUAGAAUUCCAGGUGUAGCGGUGAAAUGCGUAGAGAUCUGGAGGAAUACCGGUGGCGAAGGCGGCCCCCUGGACGAAGACUGACGCUCAGGUGCGAAAGCGUGGGGAGCAAACAGGAUUAGAUACCCUGGUAGUC